Molecule: long non-coding RNA, 114 nt
Organism: Rhagoletis zephyria (snowberry fruit fly)
Lineage: Eukaryota; Metazoa; Arthropoda; Insecta; Diptera; Tephritidae
Source: RefSeq, a predicted model, not a curated record
UUUAGAAUUUUUUUGAGUACGCAAUUUUGUAGCCCAUUAAAUUUGAGUAUAAUAAAGUGCAAGUUAUAAGUAACUAGGAUUAACCGUUGAUUUCUGGCAAUUUCUUUUUUGACG